AAAUUGAAGAGUUUGAUCAUGGCUCAGAUUGAACGCUGGCGGCAGGCCUAACACAUGCAAGUCGAACGGUAGCACAGAGAGCUUGCUCUCGGGUGACGAGUGGCGGACGGGUGAGUAAUGUCUGGGAAACUGCCUGAUGGAGGGGGAUAACUACUGGAAACGGUGGCUAAUACCGCAUAACGUCGCAAGACCAAAGAGGGGGACCUUCGGGCCUCUUGCCAUCAGAUGUGCCCAGAUGGGAUUAGCUUGUUGGUGAGGUAACGGCUCACCAAGGCGACGAUCCCUAGCUGGUCUGAGAGGAUGACCAGCCACACUGGAACUGAGACACGGUCCAGACUCCUACGGGAGGCAGCAGUGGGGAAUAUUGCACAAUGGGCGCAAGCCUGAUGCAGCCAUGCCGCGUGUAUGAAGAAGGCCUUCGGGUUGUAAAGUACUUUCAGCGGGGAGGAAGGUGUUGCGGUUAAUAACCGCAGCAAUUGACGUUACCCGCAGAAGAAGCACCGGCUAACUCCGUGCCAGCAGCCGCGGUAAUACGGAGGGUGCAAGCGUUAAUCGGAAUUACUGGGCGUAAAGCGCACGCAGGCGGUCUGUCAAGUCGGAUGUGAAAUCCCCGGGCUCAACCUGGGAACUGCAUUCGAAACUGGCAGGCUUGAGUCUUGUAGAGGGGGGUAGAAUUCCAGGUGUAGCGGUGAAAUGCGUAGAGAUCUGGAGGAAUACCGGUGGCGAAGGCGGCCCCCUGGACAAAGACUGACGCUCAGGUGCGAAAGCGUGGGGAGCAAACAGGAUUAGAUACCCUGGUAGUCCACGCCGUAAACGAUGUCUACUUGGAGGUUGUGCCCUUGAGGCGUGGCUUCCGGAGCUAACGCGUUAAGUAGACCGCCUGGGGAGUACGGCCGCAAGGUUAAAACUCAAAUGAAUUGACGGGGGCCCGCACAAGCGGUGGAGCAUGUGGUUUAAUUCGAUGCAACGCGAAGAACCUUACCUGGUCUUGACAUCCACAGAACUUUCCAGAGAUGGACUGGUGCCUUCGGGAACUGUGAGACAGGUGCUGCAUGGCUGUCGUCAGCUCGUGUUGUGAAAUGUUGGGUUAAGUCCCGCAACGAGCGCAACCCUUAUCCUUUGUUGCCAGCGAUUAGGUCGGGAACUCAAAGGAGACUGCCAGUGAUAAACUGGAGGAAGGUGGGGAUGACGUCAAGUCAUCAUGGCCCUUACGACCAGGGCUACACACGUGCUACAAUGGCGCAUACAAAGAGAAGCGACCUCGCGAGAGCAAGCGGACCUCAUAAAGUGCGUCGUAGUCCGGAUUGGAGUCUGCAACUCGACUCCAUGAAGUCGGAAUCGCUAGUAAUCGUGGAUCAGAAUGCCACGGUGAAUACGUUCCCGGGCCUUGUACACACCGCCCGUCACACCAUGGGAGUGGGUUGCAAAAGAAGUAGGUAGCUUAACCUUCGGGAGGGCGCUUACCACUUUGUGAUUCAUGACUGGGGUGAAGUCGUAACAAGGUAACCGUAGGGGAACCUGCGGUUGGAUCACCUCCUUACCUUAAAGAAGC
Molecule: ribosomal RNA, 1552 nt
Filed under: Salmonella enterica
Lineage: Bacteria; Pseudomonadati; Pseudomonadota; Gammaproteobacteria; Enterobacterales; Enterobacteriaceae
Description: bacterial SSU rRNA
Rfam family: Bacterial small subunit ribosomal RNA
Source: RNAcentral